UAAGACAAGCCAUCUGGAUCCAACCUACUCGUUUCGACACCUCAAGAAAAAUCAUAUUAUCAUUUCUUCAAAACUAUUUAUUGCCUCUAUUUGGGUUUUAUUUUCAUUUGUAACUAAAAAGUUACUUUUAAAGGAUCCACGGUAUUAUACACAUAUCGACCACUCAUUUCUCGAAAAAUGAAAGAAACCCGAACAUAAGCAUAUUAAAAUUUUGUGCUUUUCUAAAUAAAUUUUAAUCUGAUCACAUGUACUUCAUAUUUACAGGUUGGAAAAUGUUAACUUAAAACAGAUACACAGUCUAGCAAAGGUCAUUGGAACCGGAAUAACACUCUUAGGUGCAAUGCUCACGACAUUCUACAAAGGCCCUGUAGUUGAUAUUCUUCCCCACUCACUCGGCAGAAGCCACCAUGAAACUGCUAGCACCGUUGGCUCAGCCGAUCAACACUGGAUCACUGGCACAAUUAUGUUGCUUUCUUGUAUUGUGUGUUGGUCCGGUUUCUUUAUAGUUCAAGUAAGUUCUAUGUCCAUCCAGAUAGGAUUAGACAAGAUCAUUACGAAAUUAUAUCAAGUCCUAUCUAAUCGAGCUUAUCAAAUAUGUCGUUUACGUACACUCGAAUUUAUUGAAAUUUUUUCUUUUAGAUUUAAUUAAAGUUAAAUAUUGAUAUGGUUUGGACAGAAUAAGACACUGAAGGAAUAUCCCGCAGAGCUCUCUCUUACAUCAUUAGUUUGUUUCAUGGGAAUGGUGGAAGGUGGAGUUGUGGCUAUAAUAAUGGAACACCAUACCAAUGCCUGGGCAAUUGGCUUCGACUCAAGACUUUUGGCUGUUGUAUAUUCUGUGAGUAAAUUUCAAUAAUUAGGAUGAAAAGUAAUUUAUAUAUUCUCUUAAUGACAUGUUUGAUAUAGGGUUAUAUAUGAUAACACUGGACAAUACACUAUUUUGGCUUUAUUCCCUUUUGCAUAGUGUUGAUCAAUUGUUGUGAGUUCGACCAUUCCUACCCUAUCGGGAUGAAAAGAAUCAAACUCUACUCUUCCCAACUGGUGAAUUCGUGGGUGUGUAUUAUACAUAGUCUCAAAUCAAAGCGAACAUAAAUCUUGUGUGAUCUCGUGUGCAUUUUUUUCCAUGAAUUUUUGUUCUUGGUGGCAGAAUUAGAGUUUUUAAUUCUCAACAAGCAUUCAACUUUAUCAAACACACGACAUGCGUGUUGAGAAUAAAACUUUGUAACGCAUUGAGAGAAUAGAGCUAGACUAGGUGAAAAAAACCCUAAAACGGUCACGAAGUACGUACGGGAGCAUUCCCUAACAAAGCAUUAUAUAUUUUCAAGGAAUGCGAACAUUGAAACACUUUGUCUAAUUAAGUCAUAGUUUCAUGUCAAGAAUCAUAUCAUAAUAUGUGACAAAAUUUUAUGUUGACUAUCAACCUAUCGUAAUUAGUAAGUCUACUUCUUUAUAAGAUAUUGUAUCUAAAUAAAUGUACUUCAUUGCAGGGGAUUGUUUGCUCAGGAAUUGCAUAUUAUCUGCAAAGUGUUGUCAACAAGGCACGAGGUCCAGUGUUUGUGACUGCAUUCAGUCCUCUAAGCAUGAUAAUCACAGCUAUUUUGGGAGCCAUGGUUUUGGCUGAGCAAAUUCACCUUGGAAGGUAACUUUCGUGCUUGUAAUUUUGUUGAACAAGCCAAUUACUUUUAUUAUAUGAAGUUUCUUCGACAGGUAAAAUCUGUUUCAAAAACUUUAUACAGCGGCUAACAGCCGUUCACUGCCCUCGCUGUGUCCCUUGUUGCCCAACCCCAUAAGGGUUGGGAUUCCCCAAUUAAUCGGUGUUCGGGUUGAGUACGGGAAAAAUAGUCCCGUCUCGAAUCUUAUUAUUUAUUUCAUUAUAUACAAUAUAUUUAUGUUUUCAAAUUAAAAUCUUUAAGUUUAAAAAAAAAUUAGUUAGCAAAAAAUAUGAAUAUUUUAAUCUUGAUCAUGCCUCCUACCAAAUGCAAAGGAGAUGGCGACAAGGAGGGCUUCCUUGUCCCUGCCAUUGCCCAUCUCUUUUGCAAUCCCCACUCGUGGAAACACACACCAAACAAGUUGUACCUAACGCACACAUCAUCUGCAUACAUCGCACUCGUUAAUUUAGCGUGAGAAUUUUUAUCAAUUAUGAUCGUCACUUAUAUUUCUUGAUACAUAAUUGUUCGAUAAUUAGUAGUUAAAAAUGUGUGUAUAUUUGUACUUGCAGCUUAAUAGGAGCAAUUAUCAUUGUAUUUGGACUCUACUCAGUUGUAUGGGGUAAGAGCAAAGAGAAUUCAAACUCGGAUGAGUUAGUGUACAAGGAAAACAAAUCCCAUGAUGAAUUGCCAGUGGUGUACAAGAAAACAUCAAAUAUUCUUGACAAUGUCACAACUGAUACCAAUGUAAAACCAGAUGUACGUGAGAAUAAUUCCUUAAAUCAAGAGCCAUGAAAUAGCAACAUCGUCCCGUCCCAUCCCGUCCCAGCCUAGCCUAGCCCAGCCCAGCUCGUGUUGUUUUUACAUUUUUAGCCCAUGUUGUAUUUAUACCCAUAAAGGCAGAGUAAUUAUGUCAUAUAUUACUGACAUUUUAGCAUUGUAAAUUGGAAAUCAAAUGGGUUUUGGGGAUUAAAGAUCUUGGAGAAGUCAUAUAUCAAGUAUCGAUAUUAAUGAAGCAAGUGAAAUUUGACAGAUAAAUGUUACAAAUCCACUGCGCAAACUACAUACCGAAACUUGUGUUGUAUCCUUGUGUGACCUUGGAUAUACAUGUCUUUAUACAUUUUACUUUAAUUGAAAGCGGUGUCUUGCAAUUUGAUUUGAAACUUGUAUUCGUGAAGAUUGUGUCGCGGUUUGACGAAGAUUUGGAAGUUUCUGCCAUUGUAGAUUAUAACUAUAAUGAACAAUUUAGCUCCUAUUUGUUUUGGAUAAAAAUUAAAAUUUUCGUAUAUUGUGAUAAAAUUUGAUGAAAUAUUUAGUUAAAUGUUGAUAAGGUAUUGGAUCUCAUAAAAAUAUGUGAUUGAAAAUGAGUUUUAAAAAAUAAUAAUGAUGAUUGAACAGGGCUAAAAACACGAAAAGUGUGGACAGAGUGAGUUGACAGCAUUUGGUUGGAUUUAAUUUUAGAAAAUUUUCAAACCAUCCAUUCAUGCUUCUCUUUAAGGAUUAGGGGUCAAACAUGGUCUUAACUCUUGAGGGUUUAGGAAUGUCAAAGAUGAAAAAUAUUUUCGAUUAAUUUCAAUUGUCAAACAUUUUUGUCUUUAAAAUGAGUAUAUAUGGGAUCAUAUUCAAUCCAUGUUAUAUGAAAAAAUUCGAAAUUACUAAUUUAUCAGUAAAAUAGUUAAAUGGACCAAAAUGUCCAUAAUUGAAGAUAACAAAUCACGUGAUUUAUAAUACAUUUUGUAACACUUGUCAAUUUUUUUUUUAGCUUUUUUAUUCUCCUAAAGUUCAAUUAUUAUUUCAUUUUCAUCUAAUUAACAUUUUUUUAAAAUCUUUUUCAUUCACAUGUCCUACGUAAAUUAACGUGCAAUCUAGCAUUUUAAAUAAUUUUCUUCCAUUUGCAUUAUUUACUUUAAAAUUUGUUAGGAAUGCAUGUCUAAUUUUAUUAGUUUGAUGAUUAUGCACUUGUUUGAUAAAGAUUUUUAGAGAAGUAAUUAUUUGAAAAUAUCUUCUCUAUGAAUGUGUGAUUAAAAAUUAGAAAAGUUAUGAGGAAAUGAGAAAAAUAAUAUUUUGGGAGAUUGUAUGAUUGAAAACAAGUACGGAAGAAAAAUUAUUCUCAAAAAAUAAAAAUCGAACUAAGGCCCCUUUUGUGAGAAAGCUUCGUAGAAGAGAAUAAUGUAUAUAUACAUAUAAUGAAUGAGUAUUUCCUAUAUUUCACAAUAUUUUACUAACUUAGUAAAAUUAUUUUUAGCGAUUUGAUGUUAGAGCUGAAGAAAGGAAAAUAAUAAAUUUUAUUGUUCUCUCUCUCACACUCUCUCUCUCUCACACACACACACACAAAUCAUCCAAAAAAACAUUGAAAAAUCAAUACUCGGAAAGUGGUAUGCAAAACAUUAAAUUGAUGCUGGUGUAAAUCUUGACAUUUCUCGUAAUGCUUUAUAAGUAUGAAAGUAGUUUGUUGGAAGAUUUCGGCAAUUAAAAAUUGAAGUCUUCGAUGAAAGGGACCUAGGAAGAGUCACAUGUCGAGUAUCAAUAAUAUUGAAGCAAGUGAAAAUUUACACGUGUUACAAAAAUGUGGAAGUGUGUACAAAAGAUGGUACUAUAAAAAUGGAAAAUUUGCAGUAUUAAUAAUGUUGUUUAAACUUUAAAUAACAAGUUUUGAAAACUAAAAAAAUAAAAAUAAAAAUUGGGUAUCAACAUUAUAUUAUAAUUGCAAAACUAAUCAGUCAUAAAUUAGGAAACUUAUAAAUUUUUAUUAACUCUUUUGUGACCUCAAAUAUUCAUGAAGCUAAAUUUUACUUCUCUUAUUAUAUUGGUGCCUAAAAAUUUAAUUUUUGAUGUUUCUUUCACUCUCUUUUUCACGAAUGCCGAUCAUUGUGCUCAUGUGCAUGUUGAUUCUCCAAUCUUGCCCAACUCUCAAUUGGAUUUUCGGACAAAGGGUCAUAUCUAACUCUCAAUAUCAAUUUGAUCAAGAUCAACUGCUUUUCGAGUCGAAUUAAUUGAUAUUUGUGUAGUUUUGGGGUUUUUUUCAUUUAAAUCAAAUAAAUUGGGAGUAAAAAAUAGUAAUAUUAAUAACAGAGUUUGUAAUGGUUUUUAAUUGUUAAAAAAAAAAACGGUUAUAUUAAUAAAUUUAAGUGAUUUAGAGAAGAGAGGGUGGGGGCGGAGGAGAAGCAAUGUAAAUAUAAAAAGUAAUAGUCAUCUGGAAUAAAAUAAAAUUUUGAAAAAAUAAUUUAUUAUUGUAAAAUAAUGAGGUAAUUAUUGAUGAUUAUUUGAUAUUAUCAUGAUAUAUAAAUAACUCUUAUUUAGUUUAAAAUAUCUAUUUUAUUCAAAUUGUAACUCUUAUUUUAGACCCUAUAAAUAUAUGAUAUUAGUUCUUAAUAAUACACAUUUGAAUUUGACUCUUAUAUUCUCUUAUUCUCUCUUUUCAUAGUACUUAUCUAUUUUUAAUAACUUAAAUAAAAGAUAUCAAUGAAAUAUUUUUUUCAUAUGUAAAUUUUAUUUUAUUAUUAUUUUUUGACAGGUGAUAUCAAUUAAAUAUUUCAUUAACUUAACUAAAAAGUGAAAAACAAACGAAAGGACAAUCUUUCAUCGUGACGCCAAAAUUUAUUCGUCGACGAUGGCAAUUGAUGCUUUGUCGAUAAUCGUUGACAUUGUCUUACGUAUUUGCAUUCAAAUAAAAAUAAAUAAACAAAAGAAUAAAUUUACAUUGAUAACACUAGAGUUUCUUCAUUAGCGAUGGUGAUCGCUGCACUAUCUAUAGUUGUCGAUAAUGUAUGAUGGAGGUGCAUUCAUAAUAAUCAAGAUUAGUGAUUUUUAUUAGAACUAUCAACAAUAACCAUCUAAUGUCACCAAUAAAAAAUCUAUCCAUGAUCAUUUACUAUAUUUUUUUUUGUAGUUAGUAAACUUGUUAAGCUUUGCCAAACACUACAAGGUUAUUUCUUUCCUUUUUUUUCCCCCUUCCUCUUCUAAUCGAAAGUUACGCGUAAUUUUUUUUUCUAGUGAAAUAGAAUAGAAAUUAAAAAAAAAGUAAAUUAUUCUAGGGAAAUUAUAAAAAAUGUCACUUUUUUUACAAUGCAUAAAAAAUUUGCAUGUGCACCUAAUUUCAGAAAAAAUGUCACUUUUUUUUGUGAGAAAUAUCCAACUUAUUCUUCAUGUCCCCUUUUUUAGGAGCAUUUAAUGUUAGCUUUCCAAUCCAAUUAAUGUCAUGAUUUGAUUAGUUAAAUUUAUAUACUAUAAUCAUUGGAUAUAUUAAAAUUAUUAAAUUUAUAUAUUAUAAUCAUUAGAUAUAUGUAUAUUCUCCAUUUUUCAUGUUUCUAGCAAUUGAAGUUAUUUGAUUUUAAAUUUUAAAAAUCUGAUUUUGAAAAGAAUAUAAAUUUCGGAUCAAAAUAAAAAAAAAAAAAAGAAAAAAGUUAAAGGCGGUUAGCGGCUUUCAUGUUCACAGCUGCUGAAUUGCAACAGCAAAUACAGUCUCUGCCACAAUGUCGGUGCUGUAAACGAAAAAUAAAUAAAUUUGUUGUCCAAAUUUUCAUCAGAUUUGGGUGAUUGGAGAUGGAGGCCUGUUGUGCAAAUGAUUCAGAGGGUUAAAAUGUCCUAAAUUGAUAAUUUGCAAGCCUCUGCUUGAAAAUUAAUAUAUAAAGUAUUCAAAUGAUUCAGAGGGUUAAAAUGUCCUAAAUUGGCAUUUUUGAUAGAAAUUUUAAAAUGUGACAUUUUUGAUAUUGCACAGUCAAAUUUUGACACCCAAUGAAAUUUCCUCAUUAUUCUAUUUGGAGAUACAGGUUACUUAAAGUUAGUAUAUUUAGCCCUUGUUUGAGCAACAUUAUUUCCUUAAGAAUACAUUUUUAAAUAGUGUAUUAAUAGGAAAUGUGUGAUUAAAAAUAAGAAAAAGUUUUGGAUUUGUGUGUAAUAUUAUUUUAUUGACUAACGUGUGAUUAAAAUAAUGUUAAAUCACUAUUUAAGAAUGUAUUUUUUAAAAAAUGUGGGGCAAAUUAUUUUCAAGCUUAGACCAUUUUCAGCGCUGCACCAAAUUUUGCACCAAAUCUUUCAGCAAAUUAAAAUUCAUCUCCAACCAUUACACCAAAAGUUAUACUAAAUGAAUAGUGUUUAACUAUUUUUUUCCCUUUUUUGUUCUUUAUAAUAUAUUUAUUUGAAAUAUUAUUUAUUUAAUUAUUUUAUAAAUACAUAGUUACUAAAUAAAUUAUUAUGUUAAAUUAUGAAAAAGAUUAAAUUCAUUAAUAAAUCGUGUUUGUUAUAUUUUAAAAUUUUUUCUUCUUUUAAUUAAUUAAUUAAUUAUUAUUUCUUGCAUUUAAAAUAAAUUUUAAAUGCAAGUAAUAAUAAAAAUAAUAAUAAUUUAUUGUAUUUAAAAAUAGAUAGCACAAAGAUACAAAUACCCUUAAGCAAUUUAUUUGAAAAAGGAAAAUGAAAGGUAAAAAUGACUUUAGAUACCAAAAUGGUGCAAAACAAAAUUUGAUGUUAGAGGUGUUUUACACCAUUUUUUUGGGUGCAUUUUUGUGUUUUGGGGGUAAGCAUUGGAACUGCCCAGCAAAACAUGCCGUCUGAUAUGGCACUUGAUGAUUGGGGAAAGCUACAAAACUGGGGAAAUAUUGUACCAGCUUAACCCAAAAUGUUCCUCACGUCCUCUGGCUCAUUCUCUUUCGACUACUCAUUUCCACACCCCUUCAUCUCACCUGGGCCAAUGAUUUUGGCUGCCAACUGACGUCAGAGUGAGAUAUUUUAUCUGUAAGUAAUAAAUAAAGAAAAUGGCGAUGUGGGUUUUCGGAUACGGAUCUCUGAUCUGGAAAGCCGGCUUCCAUUUUGAUGAUCGCCUUGUCGGUUUCAUCAAAGACUACCGCCGUGUUUUCUAUCAAGGUUAGAAGAUAAUCCCCUCCUCGAGUAAAUUUUUUUGUAAAAUAGAGUAUUGGGUUCAAUUUAUCGAGUUAGGAGUAGUCCAAGUCAUCAAACAGAUGGAAUUGCUCUUUAUAGCUUUUUUGACUCUGAUACUCUGCGUUGAUUCUUGGGCUCUAUCUUUAAAAGGCUAAUCUUGUUAAGAGGUCUUGUAGAUUUAAGCAUAAAUCAUAUAUUCAAUGGGCUGGAGUGGAUUUCUCUUGAUGCUGACAGUGUGAUUCCAUUAACGUUGUGUGUGCCUGCGGGGAUCGAGAUGAUUAAACUUUUUGUUGGGUUUGAGUUUAGGGAGCACUGAUCACAGAGGGACUCCAGAGUACCCGGGAAGAACAGUCACAUUGGAGCCUGCUGAGGGGGAGGUUUGCGUGAGUUCUUUUUGACCUAUCUCUCUUCUUUUCUUGUGUUACUGUAACGGCUUUUGCAUUUUAAAUUAAUGGUACAAUAAGAAGAAAUUUAUCAAUUUGGCCGUUCUUGGAUAUAUAAUGGAAUUGUAUGUAUAAUGAAACAGCUAAUCUGAAAUUUUUAAUUGGUAUUAGCAUACUCUGUUGUUUAACUGGUACUCAAAUGGUAGUAAAGGACAUUCGGACAACUAACAAGAACACCAGAUGAUGCAGAUUACUGAACAACCAAGUUGAAGUAGCACAUAAGAGUUGAACUCUCGCCUUGGAUCAGAAGGAGGGGGUUCGAUUUCUGAGAAGUAUGUUCAUGGAGUAUUUUGAAUUUAGAAACAUCGAGCACUUUUGAGAUUUUAUGUGCGUGGGACUGGAUUUUGAGUUGUGAUUAGCUAAUAGCUAUUGCGAGCUUGUGAUCAAUGAGAAUUGAAGUCAUGGGUUAGAAAAUUCCUAUGAUGAUUGUUGGAGUUCGAAUUUGAAGUUAAGAUUGUUAAUCAUAACAAUUUUAAUCAACAGUGAUUUUUAAUUUCUGGACAUAUUUUAUGCAUGUGUGAUGUGUAUGUAUAUGUAAGUUGAGGUAGAAUGUCAUUUACAUAAAAUGUACUUAUGAGGGGGUCUCAUGGUCAUUUUUAGUAGCACUAUUAACUUGUGUUGGACCAUGUGUCUCUGUCCUAGUAAUAUGUAACACGCACAUGUUGAUCCUUGAUAAGAAGUCAAAGCACAAGAAAUUUUACUUAGAUUGGAGUUAACUUUAGAUGAUAACAGUUGUAUCAUUGCUGGUUUUACAAACAAGGAUCAGUGAUGGAUAUUUGAAUUGGAAAACAUUCAUUAUCUUAAGCAGUGUAUAUUGUUGAACAUAGACUGAAUCUCUAUGGAUAAUGUCAUAAUACAGACUUUCACAAUUUUCUAAAAUAUGGUUCUGGUAAGUCCCUGAAUCAUGAGACAGGGUCAUUAAAUCAUUCUUGUUGAACCUGUGUACCAUUUUCUUUGCGUGCUUGGUCUCUCUCGUCAUUAAUGAUUUGUUAUUUAAUUCUUUUCUAUGUUGUUUUGUGCAUGUAAAUUCUACCAAGUAUGAAUUUAGUAUUUAAAAUCCUUAUAAAAUGUAUGAACUUGACAAAUAUUUGAUAUGGAAGAUCAGUGGGGUGUUGCCUACAAGAUUAUCCGGAAGGAAGACCAGGAGGCUGCAUUGGAGGUAGGUUUUAACUUUUAGAAAAUAUAUAAAAUGUUGGAUUCUGUCUCUUUUAUGUAACAGUUAUUAAAAUUAUUUCUUUUUGGUGGUAAAUGAAUUCCUUCCAGUUGAUCUCGAUGAUAAAUUUCAAGAUAUGUCUUCACCUGUGCUUUUGAUUUUACUGGCUACUGUGACAGUAGAAGUUUUCAAAUAUUGGAUUGCUUCAAAGGAAAACCUCAGCAAAUCUAAGCACAAAGAAAACCUUCAAAAGAGGGCCUAGAAGUCAUAUAUGCUAUUUUAAUUUAAGAUAAUAGUCAAGCAAACAAAGAAUAAGACAUAAUAUUCUGAUGUUUCAGUUAUAGAUUGUUCCUUAUACCCGAGAGUUUGUAAUUUUCUUAAAAAAAUUACACUUUCAUGUCCAUUGUAUCAUUAAUAUUCCUAAUUCAUAUCUUUGUUUGGAUUAACUCUUCCCGUCUUAGAAGGGUGAUAUUAAAUGGAAAGAAAUCAUAAAACAAGCAAAGAAUGGACACUAGUGGUUCCCCCUCAAUGUGAGAUAUAUGUUUGCUGGUUUUCACUAUAAUGGAGAGCAAGAGUCCUAGGUUUCGUCACGCCUCUCCCACACCUGAAAGCUGCCUCCUAAAAUUCUUUGUGUAUGUAGGAAUCUCAUGGCGACCUAAUACAUGUAUGGAAUACAGGCCGGAUUGUAGUCGAGUGGAUAAGUGGAGAGUAUGAUUAGGCUCCCAUAGUCCAAAAUAUCGGACACUGAGAGAGAUUUGUUUACACUUCUAUUGCAUGUAUCAGUCUUUUCUUGUUCAUUAAGUACCUGUUUUCGGCUUAGUCCUUGUUUUCUCCCUUUCUCAAAAUGAAAUGCCUCUCUGCUACAUUGAAUAGCAUCUAGAAGUAAGGGAAAAGCAGUACGACAUGAAGGCUUAUCUUGACUUCUUCACUGUAAGUCUAAAGUUCAUCCAAUAAUUAUGUUGAUGUCUUCAUUUGAUAUUAUCUAAAACAUCAAAUUGUUGGAGCAAAUUCUGAUUGUGCCUGUACAUGUUAAAUUUUAUUUCAGAAGCCCACUGCUACAACGCCUGCAGUUUCCAAUGUAUUGGUGUAAGUUGCCCAAACCGCCACUUACUAUUGCGUAAAUCCUCUAGAGCAUUUUCGGUACACAAUAAUGCACCAUUUUAACUUUUCUUUAUUAGUACAACUUGAUACUCAGUAGCCCACCACAUAGAACAAGUCAAUAGAGAACUUGAUUGGAGGAUAAAAUACAUUAGAUAUUAACUUCUUUUCCAUUUUAAUAUUGACUAGUACAUUGCAGCCCCUUACCAAACAAUCUAUUAGAGCACAUUUGGAACAUUAGUAUUGGACAAAGCUACACACGACAACAAUCAAGAUUUUAAACUUCUCUUUCUAAUAUUUUCGAGUAUUGUGCAGUCUGUCUUACCAAACAAACCAUUUUAAUGUUAUAUUUGUGACAAUAGGCUAUUUCAGAACUUAAUAUUUUGAUUGUUUAGAUACAUAGCAUCUGCAGACAAGAAGCUCAACAAGAACUACUUGGGACCUGCUUCAUUUGAAGAAAUUGCAAAGUAUGUAUUUUAUUUCUCUGAGACUUAUUUUGCAUUUUGUACAAGAUGUUCUGUAAGCCUCUGUCAAAAGUAAUUUGGAUGUCAGCUCCAAUUAUCCUAGAAGAUGUUCUACUAAGCUUAAAAGAAAGUUAAACUAAAUUUCAAGCAAAUUUUCGUUACAAACUUGUUUAAUUACUUCACUUUUUCUUAAAAGUUGUAAAAGUUACUCUAUAAAGUAGGGGUUACUUUCAAAAUAAGUAAAUUAUUUCCAACUUCCACGACAGAAAAAUAAUAUAUUUUGAAAAUUGCUUAUUUGCAUAUAAGUCACUUAUAUGUAAUAUUUUUAAGCAUAGACAAACAUCCACUCAUUCACCUCUCUAAUUCUUAAGUCAUGGACAAAACGAACAUCAAAUAGUAAUAUUACAUUUUUCUCUAUAUAUUUUGAGAUAACAUUCUAUCUAUCAUUACAUUUUCAAAUAGGCAUUAUCGUGGUUGAAAAAAAUCUUAUUUUGAUUCAUAUUUUCGUAAAAUGAAUAUUAGUCAAGAUCAACAUUUAGGCACUAUAUCGAUCAUGAAAAAUCCAUGCAAACUCUGUAAAACGUAAUAUUCGGACAUUUUGUUGAUAUCUUACUAAUCUUGAUUUUUGUAGUCAGAUUGUUCACGCAGAAGGCCCCUCAGGACCAAACAGAGAUUAUCUUUUUAAACUUGAAACUGCACUUAUUCAAAUAGGUGAAGUCAUAUAAGUUCUUCUGAAUAUGACAAAACUUGUGCCAGCUACCUUCCCAUUUCCUUCUUUGUCUGUAUUUACAAGCAUGUUUGGUACAUUGGAUUAGAAUGUAUUAGAGACUACACUAAGUGAAUUGUCCCCAACCCUUUAUUUUCUUUUCUAGUCUAGGGAAGGGAGGGGAGAGGAUGAGGUUUGGGGUGGAGUGGGGUGGGGUCGGUCGAGUGGAACCUGUUGGGUGGUUGCAGGUUGGGCUAGGCAAGAAAUAUGACUGUUUUUUCUAUUUGUAUGUAUAUAUUUUUAAUCUAAGGGUAUAAUUGUCUUUUCGUGGCAACUUAACAAAUACUUGGACGAACCCAUUAGCAUCGACCACGAGACAAGUGCCUGGGAGUGGAAGGUUGGGGAAAUAUUAGAAAGACAAAAGUUGAAGACAAAAGUGCAAAACGGGUUUAAGGUUAAGAACAACGUUUGGAACACUUAAGUAUAAUUUAUCACCUAUCUCUGGUCUGUGAUCAUGUUGAGUCUUGUCCAAUCUAUCAAUGUACCCAUACGCCUGGCUCAUUUUACAAGGUAGAUUGUAUAGUAAGAGACUAAGCCCUUGUUUGAACCCCAUUUUUGUGAAGAAAAUGAAUUUUUGAAUAGUGUAUUGAUGGAAAAUGUGUGUUUAAAAAAUAAGGAAAAAAUUUUGAUUUGCGAAUAACAUUAUUUUAUUGAAGAGUGUGUUGUUGAAAUAAUGUCAAAUCACUGUUGAAUAAUGUAUUUUGGUUGAAAAAUGAGGCUCAAACAAGGGCUAAGUGUGUGUUUAAGUCACAUUAUUAUAAAAGAAUGCAUUUUAAAAAAGUAGGUUGAUAGAGAAUGUGUGGUUGAAAAAUAAGGAAAAAUUUUGGAUUUGCGUGUAAUAUUAUUUUAUUGAAGAAUAUGUAAUUGAAAUGAUAUCAAAUUACUAAUUAAAAAUAUAUUUUUUUGAAAAAAUGCGGCUCAAACAUGGCUUAAAUAUUGUGUCUCGUUCUAUCUGAUCUUAUAUGGUGCUAACUCCAAAACAUGACUUAUGUACUUUUGCUUAUCGUAUUUCAUUAUUUGCACUCUGCUCAAUCAAUGUUACUGUACAGGAUGUGAAGACGAACAUGUCAAUGAUCUUGCCGACGAAGUGAGGCGUAUAGUGUUAAAAAGAGGGACUGACCACUUGAUGAAGACUGGGGUUCAUUGAGCAUCGCAUGGACAUUGUUUUGGUAAUUCUUUAAAGCCACAAUGAAGCUUUAUUCGAAGCUCAGGCUAUUGAGAUAAUGAAAUAUAAAUUGACUUCUCUUUAUACUGUUUCUGCUUAUUUUCAUGCACGACUAAGUGUAAAUGUUAUGUACUAAUGAAGAAAAAGUGAAUGCAUGACUAAUAUGGUUCACGCUUUUAUUACUUCUUUUAUCGGAACUUGUAUGUCCUUUGCAUUAACGUUUGAUGUUAUUUUAAAUAUUAUUGUUUUCGUUUGAAUGUAUGGUUGAAAAUGAUCUUUAAAAAAAUCUUUUCCAAACAAACCCUCAAUAAUAUAAGUUAAUAAACUCGGCAAUUGAAGAACUCUAACCCAUGAUUAUUCAUUGUCAAAAUAAAUUUCUAUUUCCAAACUAUAAUUUCUUUAAUGUAUUGACUCAAUUUGCUGCUAAGCAAUUAUACUAUACCUUGAACACAUUUGUUACAUCAUAUUAAAUAGGAUUGCACGAAGAAUAAAUAAAUUGUUACCUUAUUGUUUAAUUAAUGGCGUUCAUUAGAGAUCAAUGAAAGUCAAUAUGUAAUCUCCAAAGGUCACCAUCGUUUUUAUUUAUUAAAAAUGUUUGUAGUCAACCCAUUUUUUGGGAUCCACAAGUAUAACACACUUAUCCACAACUUAUUCCUAUUUAUUUACAAUUUAUACAAUUUAUGAAUACUUGCCAAAAAUGCCACAUUCUAUAUGUCUUCUUGAACUAAAUAUGAUUAAGAAAUAUGAGUAAAUGAGAUGUUUGUUCAAUAAUUCUCUUUCAAUUAAAUUUAAAAAAAAAAAAAAGUUGAUCGUAAACAAAGAAAAGAAACAUGUGAGACACUUAUCCAUUUACCUUUGACAUGUAAACGGAACGUAUAUAAUUAUGAGAACGAGGUAACUGAGCUCUAUCAUACCCUAAUGUUCAAUUUAGCACCAUUUUGGCCCUCCAUUUUUUCAAAUUAAAAUGGGUGGAAUAAUAUUUUUUUUUUAAAAAUGAGUGGUUGAAAAAGAAAGAAAAGUUUUCGAUUUAAGUGUAAUAUUAUUUUAUGAAAAAUUAUGUGAUUGAAAAUAGGAUAGAGAAAAAUAAAAUUUAAUUUAAUGAGAGCUAAAUGGGGGCUUAAUGUGUGAGGACGACAUAUUUGAAUGAAAUUAAAUAUUAAAGACAAUAGAAAUGUUUAAUCAAUUAAUGUCCUAUCUAUCAUAUAAACACAAGCCAACAAAUUUCAACGCCAUUAAUGAAAAAAGUACAUGAAAUGUUUAGUCAUGCAUGCUUCUCCAAUCUUACAUGCAAUUUUUUUUUUCAUGCCUAUGAGAUAUUUUUGAUAAAGUAGGUUAAACAGUAAUGAGUGAUAUAAAAUUGACAUGUUAUCAAACCAUAAACUUCACAUCCAUGAAUCUUGUAGACUGGAGUGAUUAUGUUGAUUAUGGGAUAAGAAUCAGAGUAUCAUCAUACACUAUAAAACAAUUAUAAUUCCUGAAAAUCUUAGUUAUUGUCAAUACUUGUACCCUACAAUAUGUGUUGCUCUGAUUGCCUCUACGGUGACUUUUCUAGCUCUAAUGCCCUUUCUGACGAAAUUAUGGCUAAGCAAUUAUAAUGCCCUUUCGACAUUUUUUUUUGAAUUGUAUGGGGCAUUUUCUUAAGUGAAACUUGAAGAAUAUAGAAUAAUAUAGUUUGUACGAAGUGGGGAUCAUCUACAUCAAUAUUAUUUGAGUAUUUGAAAUUUUGUAUAUUCAAAAUACGAAAUUAUCAAUAAAGUCCUUUUCAAAGAUUCCUUUACGAAUAAUUGCAGCAGAAGCUCCAAAUCUUUGAAAUAAUAGUAGACUUCCCAAAACCUUUGUUUAUUGCAGUCGUCAACCUCAAUAUUUUCAAAUGCUGCAUGGGAAGCCCUUUUGAACGAUUUUCAUCAAUUGAUUAAAAAAAUGAUUUUGACCACAUUUUAACAAUUUUUAAAGGGACGGAAUGGUAACUUUACAUUAAAAAAAAUUAAAAUAUAAAAUUGGUUUUCUUUUUCCCUAACCCACCCCAAAUCCGCCCCCACCCCACAGUCGGAUUUGGAAAAUUGAAGCACUAAAACCAAACCACAAAUGUAGCCCUCCUUUCAGAGUUGAUCCCUUGGAAUUUUCAGAUAAUAGUGGGGUAGGGGAUGGGUUAGGAAAGAAGAAGAUCAAUUUUAUUUCUUGAUUUUUGAUUUUAAUGUAAAGUUACCAUUCUCCCUCUUUAAAAUUGUUAACAUGUGGUCAAAAUCAUUUUUUUGGUCAAUUGACGAAAUUUUGAAUGAAAACCGUCCAAAAGGGUCUACCAUACAACGUUUGAAAGGUUAGGGUGACAGUAAUGACAAAUCAAAGGUUUAGAGAAAGUUUGCUAGUGUUUCAAAACUUUGAAACUUUUACUACAAUUAUCCCAUUUCUUUAUGCAAGGGCUUUAAAGUGUGGCUAAGAAUUCCCUGUACAUGUAACAAAAACUUUAUCAAAAAUAAAAACUCAAUGAAAAAGAAAAGAAAACGAAGACACAUCCCUCGAAUUAUUAGUUGAGAAUUCUAUAUCGUCAAGGACCACUUUAUUAAAAUCUUUUCCUUUAGAGAAAAUGAUAUCAAAGUGAGUGGAGAAAGAUGGAAAAACUCGUUAUAAAUUUGUACAAAUAUAUUAAUUCCCACAAAAAAAAAAAAAAAAAUAGUGCUAGCGAUGAGGGAAAUGAUCAAUUGGUACGCCGUAAUUAAAAACUCAAUAGUGUUUGUAAUGUAAUUAUUGACCUCGUUAUUAUGUAAUAUUAAACUUCUAUUGAAUGCAAAUAAUUUAUGUAUACUUUGGAUUUAUGUGUAAGGACAAGAUAACUAUUGGACUUUGCUACUACGAUUUGAUUUAUUUAUUAAAAAUAAAAAUAAAAAUCCAAUCAAAAAAAUUAGUCAUGUACCUAAUAAACUAGAUAAAUAUGCAUGGCAUUUUCAAGAAGAGUGUCCACUCAUCAUCCCACAAUCCUACAUGUAUCACAUAGCACUAAACCCUAAUAAACAUUUGGUGUUCAUUUUGCAAAAUAUAAUAAAAAUAAUUUAAUAUGAAUGGUUCAACAUAGUAUAAAAGCAAUAAAAAAUUUGAACUCAAGUCGCAUGGGCUAUAUAGGAAAAUUGUGCACAUAUAUAUUCAAUAAAAAAAGGGAAAAAUUCAUAACUUAGGUGUAUUGUUUACACCAAUUCAAUUUUCAAAUCCUAAGUUUAAAAGUGCAAAAAUCAGGUAUUUAUUUAUUAAUUAAAAAUAUUUUAUUAAUUAAAUGUAAUAAGGUCAAUGAUACAAAAUUUUAUAUCACAAUUUAUUUACUAGUCACAUAUCAUUAAAUUAAUUAGUCACAGGUUAUUUCGAGGUCAUAAAUAAAUUUUUUUAUAGAUCAUCUAAAAAUUUAUAGGUCACAAUUUAUUGUGGUAGUCACAAAUCUAAAAAUUUAUAGGUCACAUAUUUUCAAAUUUGUUGAUGACAGUUAAAUAUUUGGUCACAUAAGUCGAAUAGUGGUCACAGACCAUCGCGAUUAACACUAUCACAUCGCUACUGCCAUCACGACCACUUGUGACCACCCUCACCCCGUUACCGUCGCCAAGGUCACAUGAUCACAGAUAACUAAAUAGUUGGUCACACUUCUCAAAUAAUGGUCACAAACCACUACCACCACCACCACCACCACCACUAUCGCAUCGUCAAUGACGUCACGGGCACUUGCAACCAUCCUCAGCUCGUUAUCGAUGCCAACACCAACACCAACAAAAACAAAAAUCAAGGCAACUACAACCAAUAAUCACCACCUUCGUCACUAGAAACCACCACAAGUGCCACCACCAAAAACCACAAUAAUACAUAACCAACGUCUCAACCACCAACAAGACCACCGCCGUAAACCACACAAUAUCACUGCACCACCAUCCAAACACUAUCACCGCCAUCACCAUUCAGAUCUGAACACACCACGUCACACCACUACAACCACCACCAAAAGAUUAAUAUUCACACCAUUUAGACACCGACAUAUCAAUAUUCACACGGCAUCACCACCACAUCCACUACCACUCCAAAAAUCAACAAACACCUAACACCGCACCAAUAAACUUCCACACACUGAACCAUCUUGUGUGUCGCCGCAUAGCAAAGCCACGACAACGCCGCGACUUUGACGCUCAUAUUGACUCGCAACGGCACUCAGAUUGACGCUCAACAGCCAUGUCAUCAACGCUUGUCACGGCACCGACACUCGUUGUGACAACAGCAUUCAUCGCGACGAGUUAAGUGGCAAUCAGAUUUAGCAGCGGCCAAAGUUGGUAGAGAGAAUGGAGAGAAGAAAGGGGAGAAGUGAAUUAGGGUUUGGAAUUGAAUUAAUAAAUUAAUACCUGAUUUUUGAUUUAAAAACAUUUGCACUCACAUCUUUAGAUACCAGGAAUCUUGUAAUUUCCUCAUAAAAAAAAAAAGAGCAUGACCACGCGUAUGUACUGUUCUAAAAGUCAUGUAUUAGUGGCACCUAAGUGUCACCAAUGCGCGAUGCGUAGUGGAAAUGCCAAGCCAAGUGGCUUGGCACCUUAUUUAGCGGUCAACGAGAGCGGUCAACAACAAUCGUUGCCGCUAAUGCACGCCUAGGUGUGGUUAACCAAGCCUAGACAAGCAUAAUUAUCUUUUAAUUUUAUUUUUUUAUUUUACAAUUCUUUUAAAUUAAAACUUAAAAGUUGAUUCCUUCAAUUCGUCGAUUCUAAAUUCAAAAUAGUCACUUGAAGUCUAAAACAAAGGAAAUCUCCCAAAAACUCUUAUUUAUUUACUAUUUAAUAUUUACAUUUGGAAAUUAUCUUUUUAUUGAAAACUUUGGAAAAAUGAAUAAAUUUCCUAUAAAUUUGUUUUAGAUGUUUGGUACGUAUUAUUUUUAAUUAUUAAACGAUUUUUCAAUUGAUUAAAAAUUAAAAUAAUUUUAAAAUAUGAAAACAUCUUUUUAUGUUUUUUUACGUCUAUGCCUCGUCUAAGCUCCCCUAACCCAUAGCUUGGCUUCUACGUAUUGCUACGCAUUACGUUUUUUAAAACACUAUGCGUACGUUAAAGGACACGUUUAGAAUUAAUUUCAAAAUAAAUAAUUGUACUGCAUUUAAUAGUUUAAUUUUUUAGAUGAAAUAGUUAACUAAUAACAAAUUAAACUUAGAAAAAUAUUUAACAUGUGGUGGAGAUUCAUGUUAAACUAUUAAUCUUUCUUUUAGGAUUAUUUUAAUUAGUGGAAAGAUUCUAGUUUCUUGAAUUUGAUUCCUAAAGGGGAAUAGAGUUACUGCGCCAAUGCACAAGAAUUAUUCAAUCUCUUUUGCUUUUAUUUUGUGUAUAAAAGCCCAAAACUUCUCAUUUUUGUAUGGUCCAGGCAUUUACAAUUGUGUAUAGAAAAAUUAGAGAAUAGGAAUGGGAGAGCAAUCCGCAUGGGGGAUUACAAGUAUGGCAUUCAAUAAGAUGAAGCCCUAGUUGGCCAUGGUGUCUCUACAAUUUGGCUAUGCCUGAAUGUACAUUAUCACCAUGCUUUCCUUCAAGUUCGGGUUCAACCACUGGAUUCUAAUCGUGGACCAAUACAGUUGCCACGAUGGCUUUUGCGCCUUUCGCAUUUUUCCUCAAAAGGUCAAUACAUCGUCCAUAUAUAUGUGCAUAAGUGUAUGUAAGCCACGCAUGUUAGUUUUAUUUCUCCUUAUAAUAUAAAUUCAUUUCUUCUCUCUGUGUGUGUAACAAUACAACUUGCAUGUCAUUUUGCAAGAAAAUAAGGCCUAAGAUGACACUAUCAGUCAUUCUGAAGAUAAUACUACUUGCUUUUUUGGAGUAUUCCUCUUGAUCACUUCACUUAUUUACUACAAUAUAUCGCUCUUUUGCACCAUCUUACAAGAUUUUCAUCUAAUAGUAUAGUUCAGUCGACCUUAUCUGCAUUAAAUAAACACGAUUAGGCAGUAUAUGUCCAAAAUUUGAGCUUAUUUGUCAAUUUUGUAAUAUUAUCAAGCCCGUGCUUGAUCAAAACUUAAUUCUUGUACUUUUUAGUUAGGAAUGUUAAAAGAAUUAGAUCGAAACAUGUUUGAUUGAAAAUUUUGAUAGAAGUUCCAAAAUGUAAAUUGGUUACAAGUAGGAAAAUUGAAAAUAUAGAAACCAUUAAAAUAAAUUUUUACUUGGUUGCUCUAUAAGAUUGCCAUUUGUUACAUGUGCGCGCUUAUAUUGAGCUUGUCGACCACGUAAAAGUCGAUCAAUGCUUGACGUCAAAUACUUUUGUACAGUGCCAUGUGAUUAAGUAAAUUACAAUGUAUUUAUUAUUUUAUUUAUUUUCUCGUGAUUAAACAAUGGAAAUAACAGAUUAAUUUUUUUAAAGAAUAAAAAAAUAAAGGGUGAAUUUAUUUAUGGAACCACAUUGAUUUCUUCUCCAAUAUCAAAUUUAUCAAUAUGAUGUGAGAGAAUAAAAAUAAAACCCUACUAUAAUUUUCUAACAAACGUGGUGCCGGCAAGGAAAUAACAAAUUUGCCGAAUCAAGAUCGGACGACCGGGUCAACCCGUCAAUACCGGGAAAUCCCAAUCCAACGGCUCAUAUACGUUACGAUAUCCACCGUUGGAUCAUCAACUGACGGCCCAUAUCAAACCAUUGUGGGCUCCAUCAAACCUUUUCCCUAGACAUAUAAAUAACAAUUAUGUAAAACCAUGUCCACUCUGAAGAAUUCUUGAACAAAAUUCUCUCUCACACAGUGGUUUUGUGUGUGGGUUCUGUUGGAAAAAAAUGGUUCAAUGGGUCAACUUUGAGUCCAAAUUUCAGUAGGACCCACCUUUUAAAUAAUACGGGACCUAGUAUAUUCACGUUCUACUCCGCGAGAUGAUUAACGUGAUAUAUUUAUUUAUCGAAAACCAUUUAAAAUUGAAUGAAAUAUUAAGUGUUAAAGUAACCCACAUGAACUAAAGAUUAUGGAAGAAUUUGAUUUGCCAAACACUUAUCCCACAUAGGAAAGUUAGGAAACUUUGGUGUGUUUUAUAAGGUGGAAGUUUGGAAUUAGGUUUGGGCCCCAAGGGGUACCAAUAGUCUUUGGAAGGGGGAAGACCUAUAUCCUAUUGGGUUCGGUCAUAAACCCACACGCGCGCGCCGCUGUCCGACCGGCCGGCUCGGCAUGGCAUGGCACGAGUCCGGUUCGGUGGGGGUCCGGGUCGACCUUUACACUAUAUUAACUUUUUAGACAAAAUUUAUUUAAAAUUUUGGGCCAAAUUGUAAAUAAUCAAAUUCUUGGGUACAAAAUGAAAUUUAAAUUUUGGCUUAUUCCGGGUGUUUUAUUUUCUUUUAACAGUCGACUGUUUCGACUGUUUAUCGACCAUUAACCGACUUAACAGACACGACUUUUAAGAACAGUAUGUCUGUUCGAAUUUUUGAGGUUUGUCUGAAAGGUGAUGACUGUUCGAAUGGCCACGAACAAGUCUAUAAAUAGCCAGCCUUUCUAUCAGAAAAUUUACACCAUUUUCAUUGCAAACUUUCUGUGCUUUGAAUCUCAUUUCCCUCUCUCUCGAUAUUGUCUCGAAGUAAAAAACACUUCGUUGAGUUCGUUGAAACUCCUACAGACUGCAGUGCUGCUUUCGUAGGAGACGAAAAAUUCGUUCUAUCCUGGAAAACGAUUGCUGGACGCCUUUAGCACCAUUGAAGGCAGCAAAUUCGUUUUAAGGACACAUCGUGAAGUCGGUGGGCUCGAAUUACAAUUUUGGAUCCUGUUGAUCAAUUCUUGCAUUCAGGUAAUUCUGUCGGAUUGUUUUCGAAGGAGUGAAUUCAAACUCUAGAAACAACAAUCUUAAAACGAAUUUUAUUUUUUCAAUUAUUAUUUGUUUCUUUUUCUACUCCUUCUUAUCGUUGAUCUUCUGAUUGCAUUCAGAAAUGGAAACUUCUGGUACCACACUCCCGAAUACGACCGGGGAAAAAUCAGAAAAGUUUAAUGGGUCAGAUUUCAAGCGUUGGCAACAAAAAAUGCUUUUUUAUCUGAUGACAUUAAAUCUGGCUAAAUUUCUCAAAGAAAACGCGCUUUCAUAUACUGAGCAAGACAGUGAUGCUGAAAAAUUGGCUGCGCUUGAUGCAUGGAAGCAUUCUGAUUUCUUAUGCAGAAAUUAUGUGCUUAAUGGACUGGAUAACACAUUAUAUAAUGUGUACUGCAAUGCUAAGUCUGCAAAAGAACUGUGGGAAUUUUUGGACACAAAGUACAAAAUCGAAGAUGCCGACACGAAGAAAUUCAUUGUCGGUCGUUUUUUGGAUUAUAAAAUGGUUGACAACAAGACUGUCAUAUCCCAAGUUCAAGAACUUCAGAUCAUACUUACCGACAUCCAUGCCGAAGGAAUGAAACUAAGUGAAUCGUUCCAAGUCGCUGCACUAAUAGAGAAAUUACCACCUUCAUGGAAGGAUUUCAAGAAUUACCUCAAGCACAAGCAAAAGGAAGUGAAACUUGAAGAUAUCAUUGUCCGUUUGAGAAUAGAAGAAGACAAUCGCAAAACGGAAAAAAGGAAUGGUGCAUCUACUUCGAUGAAACCAAAAGCCAACAUUGUAGAAGGAGGCUUCAAGACAAGCAAAAAGAGGAAGCACAAUGGGGAAGGACAAAUUGGUUCUUCAAAAACUGCUAAAAAGUUUAAAGGCAACUGUUACAAUUGUGGCAAGGCAGGACAUCGAUCCAAGGAUUGUCGAAAGCCAAAAAAUGUGAAGGGAAAAACUAACCAGGCCAAUGUAACAGAACAUGAGAACCUCACUGAUAAGGUACAAGACAUGAAUCUUUCUGCGGUCGUCUCUGAAUGCAACUUAAUUGGAAACACUAAGGAGUGGUGGGUAGAUACUGGAGCUACUCGUCACAUAUGCUCAAAUCGCAGGAUGUUCUCUACCUACAAAGCAAUGGAUCAUGAUGAACAUCUUUACAUGGGAAACUCGUCAUCUUCCAAGGUAGAAGGACAUGGGAAGAUAGUGCUGAAAAUGACAAGUGGAAAAGAGCUCACUUUGAAUGAUGUUCUUCAUGUGCCCGAUGUUAGAAAAAACUUGGUAUCUGGUUCUCUACUAAGUAAGAAUGGGUUUAAACUAGUAUUUGUCUCGGACAAAUUUGUACUAUCAAAGAAUGAAAUGUUUGUAGGAAAAGGCUACCUGAAUGAGGGGCUCUUUAAAUUGAAUGUAAUGACCGUUGUACUUCCAAUUAUGAAUAAGAAUAUAUCUUCUUCUUACUUGCUUGAGUCAUUUAACAUUUGGCAUGAACGAUUAGGACAUACAAGUUNNNNNNNNNNNNNNNNNNNNNNNNNNNNNNNNNNNNNNNNNNNNNNNNNNNNNNNNNNNNNNNNNNNNNNNNNNNNNNNNNNNNNNNNNNNNNNNNNNNNNNNNNNNNNNNNNNNNNNNNNNNNNNNNNNNNNNNNNNNNNNNNNNNNNNNNNNNNNNNNNNNNNNNNNNNNNNNNNNNNNNNNNNNNNNNNNNNNNNNNNNNNNNNNNNNNNNNNNNNNNNNNNNNNNNNNNNNNNNNNNNNNNNNNNNNNNNNNNNNNNNNNNNNNNNNNNNNNNNNNNNNNNNNNNNNNNNNNNNNNNNNNNNNNNNNNNNNNNNNNNNNNNNNNNNNNNNNNNNNNNNNNNNNNNNNNNNNNNNNNNNNNNNNNNNNNNNNNNNNNNNNNNNNNNNNNNNNNNNNNNNNNNNNNNNNNNNNNNNNNNNNNNNNNNNNNNNNNNNNNNNNNNNNNNNNNNNNNNNNNNNNNNNNNNNNNNNNNNNNNNNNNNNNNNNNNNNNNNNNNNNNNNNNNNNNNNNNNNNNNNNNNNNNNNNNNNNNNNNNNNNNNNNNNNNNNNNNNNNNNNNNNNNNNNNNNNNNNNNNNNNNNNNNNNNNNNNNNNNNNNNNNNNNNNNNNNNNNNNNNNNNNNNNNNNNNNNNNNNNNNNNNNNNNNNNNNNNNNNNNNNNNNNNNNNNNNNNNNNNNNNNNNNNNNNNNNNNNNNNNNNNNNNNNNNNNNNNNNNNNNNNNNNNNNNNNNNNNNNNNNNNNNNNNNNNNNNNNNNNNNNNNNNNNNNNNNNNNNNNNNNNNNNNNNNNNNNNNNNNNNNNNNNNNNNNNNNNNNNNNNNNNNNNNNNNNNNNNNNNNNNNNNNNNNNNNNNNNNNNNNNNNNNNNNNNNNNNNNNNNNNNNNNNNNNNNNNNNNNNNNNNNNNNNNNNNNNNNNNNNNNNNNNNNNNNNNNNNNNNNNNNNNNNNNNNNNNNNNNNNNNNNNNNNNNNNNNNNNNNNNNNNNNNNNNNNNNNNNNNNNNNNNNNNNNNNNNNNNNNNNNNNNNNNNNNNNNNNNNNNNNNNNNNNNNNNNNNNNNNNNNNNNNNNNNNNNNNNNNNNNNNNNNNNNNNNNNNNNNNNNNNNNNNNNNNNNNNNNNNNNNNNNNNNNNNNNNNNNNNNNNNNNNNNNNNNNNNNNNNNNNNNNNNNNNNNNNGGGCUAUGUCAUCAACCGAAGCUUCAUAUUGGAAAGAAGCUGUUCAUAGUGAAAUUGAAUCCAUACUACAAAAUCAUAAUUGGGAAUUAGUAGACCUCCCUCCCGGUAAUAAGCUUUUGGGAUGUAAAUGGAUUUUCAAAAGGAAAAUGAAAGCAGAUGGAUNNNNNNNNNNNNNNNNNNNNNNNNNNNNNNNNNNNNNNNNNNNNNNNNNNNNNNNNNNNNNNNNNNNNNNNNNNNNNNNNNNNNNNNNNNNNNNNNNNNNNNNNNNNNNNNNNNNNNNNNNNNNNNNNNNNNNNNNNNNNNNNNNNNNNNNNNNNNNNNNNNNNNNNNNNNNNNNNNNNNNNNNNNNNNNNNNNNNNNNNNNNNNNNNNNNNNNNNNNNNNNNNNNNNNNNNNNNNNNNNNNNNNNNNNNNNNNNNNNNNNNNNNNNNNNNNNNNNNNNNNNNNNNNNNNNNNNNNNNNNNNNNNNNNNNNNNNNNNNNNNNNNNNNNNNNNNNNNNNNNNNNNNNNNNNNNNNNNNNNNNNNNNNNNNNNNNNNNNNNNNNNNNNNNNNNNNNNNNNNNNNNNNNNNNNNNNNNNNNNNNNNNNNNNNNNNNNNNNNNNNNNNNNNNNNNNNNNNNNNNNNNNNNNNNNNNNNNNNNNNNNNNNNNNNNNNNNNNNNNNNNNNNNNNNNNNNNNNNNNNNNNNNNNNNNNNNNNNNNNNNNNNNNNNNNNNNNNNGUAUUAUUGGCAGUUUAAUGUAUGUCAUGAAUUGCACUCGACCUGAUAUUGCCUAUUCAAUUAGUAGGCUAAGUCGAUAUACAAGUAAUCCAAGCACUGAUCAUUGGAAGGCCAUUGUUAGAGUUUUAAGGUAUUUAAAACAUACCCAAAAUUUUGGAUUACACUAUUCGAGAUAUCCAGCAGUACUUGAAGGAUACUGUGAUGCAAAUUGGACAUCAGAUACUAAAGACUCCAAAUCAACAAGUGGAUAUAUCUUUACACUUGGAGGUGUUGCAAUAUCAUGGAAGUCUUCAAAGCAGACAUGUAUAGCUAGAUCAACAAUGGAAUCUAAAUUCAUUGCAUUAGACAAAGCUGGAGAAGAAGUCGAAUGGCUACGAAACUUUCUAGAAGAUAUUCCAUGUUGGAUAAAACCUAUGCCUGCUAUAUGUAUCCAUUGCGAUAGUCAAUCAGCAAUUGGAAGGGCACAAAAUGCAAUGUACAACGGUAAAUCUCGACAUAUACGUCGUAGACACAAUACUGUUAGACAAUUGCUCUCUACAUGUAUUAUCUCUAUAGAGUAUGUGAAAUCAAAAGAGAAUAUUGCGGAUCCUCUAACUAAAAGUUUAACAAGAGAGCAAGUCGAAAGUUCAUCGAAGGGGAUGGGAUUAAAACUAAUAAAAUAAUCAAAAGUUUUCAUGGUGGCAACUCAACCUAGUUGACUGGAGAUCCCAAGAUCUAGGUUCAAUGGGACAACCGAACUGUGAAAACUUAGUAUGCACUGGGAAGAUUUUACUUCUACCCAUUCCUAUGAUGAGCCAGUGCCCAGCUGCCGUGAAAUAGGUUAAGAUACGCUUUUAAUGAUUUCUAUAUCUUGAUUUGUUCAAAUGGAGUAUAACAGAAUACUCUUUAUGGAAAUCACCUAUGUGAGUGAGAAGGGGCCGCUUCUAAGAGAAUUAGGUAAACAUGAAUUCUCUAAAAAUCACUCAUGAACCAGGAGGUGUCCAAGGCCAAAAUGGACACAAACGUGAGAACCAACUGUGUUCGAAGAAAAACUGUGUGACUUCUAUUGUCUAGGUUUCCACAAACGGCUGACUGUUUAAAGCAACUUGCUACUGAUUGGCUAAGGAAUUUCGAUAGAUUUUACUAGGGAAAGUUCAAAGUCAUUGACUACUUAUCCCGAUGCAGUCUUCUUCAAUUUUUUCUUUGAAAAAAACAUAACAGAUGUUAUCGUUUGGAAUAAAGGCCAACAUAUUUAAUUCAUGUGGGGGAUUGUUGGAAAAAAUGGUUUAAUGGGUCAACUAUGAGCCCAAAUUUCAGUGGGACCCACCUUUUAAAUAAUACGGGACCUAGCAUGUUCACGUUCUACUCCGCGAGAUGAUUAACGUGAUAUAUUUAUUUAUCGAAAACCAUUUAAAAUUAAAUGAAAUAUUAAGUGUUAAAGUAACCCACAUAAACUAAGGAUUAUGAAAGAAUUUGAUUUGUCAAACACUUAUCCCACAUAGGAAAGUUAGAAAACUUUGGUGUGGUUUAUAAGGUGGAAGUUUGGAAUUGGGUUUGGGCCCCAAGGGGUACCAAUAGUCUUUGGAAGGGGAAAGACCUAUAUCCUAUUGGGUUCGGUCAUAAACCCACACGAGCGCGUCGUCGCCGCCGUCCGACCGGCUGGCUCGGCUCGGCAUGUGCCCGAGCCCUAGUCCGGUCCGGUUCAGUUCAGUGGGGGUCCGGGUCGACCUUUACACCAUAUUAACUUUUUAGACAAAAUUUAUUUAAAAUUUUGGGCCAAAUUGUAAAUAAUCAAAUUCUUGGGUAUAAAAUGAAAUUUAAAUUUUGGCUUAUUCCGGGUGUUUUACUUUCUUUUAAUAGUCGACUGUUUCGACUGUUUACCGACCAAACAGUCGACUUUUUACCGAUCAAACAGUCGACUGUUAGCCGACCAUUAACCGACUUAACAGACACGACUUUUAAGAACAGUAUGUCUGUUCGGAUUUUUGAGGCUUGUCUGAAAGGUGAUGACUGUUCGAAUGGCCACGAACAAGUCUAUAAAUAGCCAGCCUUUCUACCAGAAAAUUUACACCAUUUUCAUUGCAAACUUUCUGUGCUUUGAAUCUCAUUUCCCUCUCUCUCGAUAUUGUCUCGAAGUAAAAAACACUUCGUUGAGUUCGUUGGAACUCCUACAGACUGCAGUGCUGCUUCCGUAGGAGACGAAAAAUUCGUUCUAUCCUGGGAAACGAUUGCUGGACGCCUUUAGCACCAUUGAAGGUAGCAAAUUUGUUUUAAGGACACAUCGUGAAGUCGGUGGGCUCGAAUUACAAUUUUGGAUCCUGUUGAUCAAUUCUUGCAUUCAGGUAAUUCUGUCGGAUUGUUUUCGAAGGAGUGAAUUCAAACUCUAGAAACAACAUGUUCUUGUUCCAAAAAAUUGUUUUUGCUUAUCUUGCUCACUUAUCCGACGCAUUAUCGCCGGAGAUGAAACCGGCGUCGGAGUAUAUGAUAAGAAAAUCGAGGUACAGGAGAGUUAAUCGUCUAGCUAAAAAGAUCAACAGCUAGGAUUUUAUCAGCGGAUCUCACUGUCAAGAAUGGACGGUCAAAAGCUUACUAGGAACCACUCAUCACUUCUUCGGUUAUCCACCACCGUCAGAUCAUAACCAUCCGCAGCUUAUCUUCUAUGAACGAGAUCGCACCUGAUGAAGAAAUAUAUAACCUUGAAGAAUGGAAAUCUCACUGCAAGCCCGUUUCACCGCUGGUUCAGUCCGGUUCAGUGUGUCUAACUCCGAUACUUGCCAUAUUGUUCCUCUAUGUAUGCACCCUUUUCGCCUUCUUCAACACGGACGACAUAGCCACCUCGGAAAAUCUGCUUUUAGGGCUUAUUUUAGUUGCUGUUUUACUUUUCUUCGCGUCGAAAAAUAAGUCAAGAAUCCAACAAAGUUUCAGUUUUUGCAAGGAACUGUGUUAUGAGUAUGGAAAAAAAGUUGGGUUUCUCUGUUUGACCUCUAAGAACAAUGAAAAAUCUGUGAAAUGGUUCAUCGGUGAAUUGAACUUCGAUUAUAAAGAGAAUGCUAUUUGGCAACAAUGUAUUUAGGAACUCCUCUUGAUAAAAUUGAUUUGUAUUUAGAUUCCACACAAUAGAUAAUAAUGAGAAUCAAAUAUUAAACAAAAUUACUAAAAAGAACAUAUCUCGAGGAUGAAGAACUAAAAUAAUCAAAUAUUGAAUUGAGUUAACAUUAAGCAAGCAUGCCAAAAAGAAGAACUAAAAUAAUCAAAUAUUGAAUUGAGUUAACAUUAAGCAAGCAUGCCAAAAUGUUUCUACUACUACUACUACAAAAAAAAAAAAAAAAAAUGGCGUGCUUAAAUUCGUAAAAUUGAGUUAUUAUCAUUUUUGCUUUAUUUUGAAUGGCAAUUUCAUAUACAUUACAAAAUUUUUACUUUAACAUAAUAAAGUUCUUAUUUGAUUUGUUUGAAUAUAAAUAUGUCAAAUUUAAUCUAAAAAGUAAAGUACGUAUACAUGUGAAUAUUAAAACGCCAAAAUGGAUGCAUAAUUUAUAUUCGUUAAAUAUAUCCAACAUCAAAAAAUAUAAAAAGUUUACCUCAUUUAAUUUGUCAAAUGUAGUGACAUAUUUAAUCUCUUGCUUUGGUUUGCCUAAACUCAAGUAAAUAUGUUUGAUUUAUUUCGAUUCAAUACGAUCUGAUUAGAUUUGGUAUCAUUGGAGACUUGCGCACCCUUUUUAUAAUAAUCCUAUGAAAGUCGAAAGGAAAUGAUAAUAAAAAAUUAUAAAAAUAAUUGGUACGAACUUAAAAUCAAAAGCUACUUUUCUAAAUUUUUUUGCAGAUAGUAUAGUAUAAAAAAAGAAUUUAUAACUUAAACAAAGUUAUAAAGUAAAAUUUAAGAUCUUUCAGCGUUUAAUAAUAUUAAUAUUUUUAGUAAUAUUUAUAUAUAAUAUAACUUUAAUAAGCAUCAACGAUACUUACAGUUUUUUUAGUAUAUCGUAACAAUAUUUAAUAUGCUGACAUUAAAAUUUAAAACAUACACUUUUUGGAUAUGAUAUGACUAAUAUUCUAUCGUUAUAAUUGAUAAAAAAAAAUUUGAAAUGCCUGCGGAAUUUUAAAAUAUCAAAACACUUGGACAAAAAUUAUGGGUUGCGACAUAAACCUUUUAUGAAAUUAAAUUAUUUACAUAAUUAAUUUUAACUAUAAUUUUGCAUUAAAACCAAUAUUCAAAAUAAAAUAAAAUAAAAAAAGUUGGGAGACUAUGCAUUUAAGAGCUUUCUUAAUGAUUAAUAGUUAUAAUUAAUUAAAAAUUAAAAAAUAUUUUCCCUACCAAUUAAAGGUAACAAUACUAAGUGAAUGUAAAUUAUAAAAAUGGCUAUAAUCAAUAAAAUUAAUAUCAUAUUCUAUGGAAAUGUGUAUUGAAUUCAAUUUGUAAGGGUUGAAAAUUUGAGAAUAUGACACUCGAAAUUUGAGAGAAUCUAACUUUAGAUUUUAAUAAUUUUUUCUCUUUAUCCAGUGUUUAAGUGAAAAAAUUGCAAAUUUUAAUAAACACCAAACCGUUUUUCAAACUGACAACUCAUACCUAAAUUUCUUGCAAGUGAAAUUGACAAUAGAAUUUUCAAUUUCUCAAAACUAACAUUCAUACAUUGUAAGAUUGUAACAAUAAGAAAGAAAAUAUGUUCAUUAAUCAACGAAUAUCAUAGAGACAAAAUGUACAAGAUUCGAUUCGAGAAAAUAAAGAAAAAUUUGUAUUGCAUUGGAUAACUGAAUGCAAGUAAAUUUCGGUUGACAAUAAUAUUUGUAAAAAAUAAAUUCAAAAUAACUAUCCAAUAUAAUAAAUCUUUACAAAACACUAUUAAAAUUCAUCAUUAAAAAAAGUAAGAUGUUUAUUAUUUUUUGUUGUGGUCUAUAUAUAUAUAUAUAAAAGAAUGGCCAUCACUCCGAUCAAAAGAGACCAUAAAAAUUUGUGAUUAAUAAUCACAUCAACAAUUACAUAGAGAAAAUAAAUAUAGGAAGAAAAACAAUUUAUAAACACAUAUUCAAUAUGUGAUCUGUGAGUGAUGAAUUAUGGAUUCAUAAUUGAGACUUAAAGCGUAAAGAAACUCUUAUAUAGUUUUUUAUUUUAUUUUAUUUUUUUUAUUUAGUUCAUUUGUGCAAAAACUUUUGUCGAAAUAUAUCAAAUCAAAGAAAAAUAUUUAUAUUAUGGACAAUAAAAUGUCCUAAUUAUGUAUUUGAUUAAUAAAAUAUUUAAAGAUUGCGAUUAUGGAUUGAUUUAUUAUUUUCAAAAUAAUUUUUUAGAAAUGCAAUACUAUUUUUAAUAUUUAUUAUUAGGUUUAAAAAUAUUUAAUUGUGUUAGUAAUUUUAAUUUUUUAGUAUAUAUUAAUAUUAAUUGACUUAAUAAAAUAUGUCAUUUCAAGUAAAUUAUAUAUAGAAAUAGUAUUAUUGUAAUUUCUUUUCAUUGUGUGUAAUAACAUUCUCAUUAUUUGUGUGCUAAUAAUUAGAAAUAAUUGUAUUUAGUGGAAAUUAAUUGACUUAAUUUUUGAAAGCAAUAAGAAUUAUUAAUUAUCUUAUUUAGAAGUUAUAAAUUGAAUAUUAAGGGUACGGUUCACCACAAAUAUAAAAACGUAAAAGUAAAAUGUGAAAUCGAAUGUUUAUCAUCUAAUCAUACUUAGGUUAUUGAAAAAUGAUUUUUUUUCAUCAUAUUUUAUCAAAUCAAUAUAAAUUAAUGGUGAUUAAAAAAUUGAUGGAUUAUUAUAAAAUGACUUUUCAUCUAAUACGUAAUAAGUAAACAUUAGUUAACAGAUUUAUUUAUUUAUUUAUUUAUUUAUUUUUACCGUUAUGUUUUAUUUUCAAUGAAAUCUUUUAGGAAUGCCUUUUAAUCUAUAAUAUUAGGUUUAAAAAAUUUAAGUGCAUAUAUAAUUUUAUUGUUUCUAUAAAUCUUAUAUAUAAUAUUAUUUGAUUUAAUAGUCUAUGCCAUUUCAUGUUAAUUAUAUAUGUGGUAUUGUUAUAAUUUUUAUUUGUUUUUGUAUAAGUUUUUAUUAAUUGUAUACUAAUAAUUAGUAAUAAUAGUGUUUAGUGGAAAUUAAUUGAUUUAAUUUAAAAGAUAAAUAAUUUUAAUUUUAAUAAUAAUUGAAUUUAGUUGAAAUAAAUUUAAUUUUAAGAGUAUUAUUGACCAUAAACAUAAAAAUAUAAGGGUAAAAUGGAAAAGUAAAGACAUGAAAAUAAAUGAGUGUAUAUUGGACUUUAAGCUAAAUAUGUAAGGGUACAAUUGUUAAUCAAAAGUUUCUCCUCAAUCUCCAAUUUUAAUAUAUUGCAGAUAAUCCUCUACAAUUAUUUCUUGGUAUUGUAAUGUUAAAAAAGUAGAACCAUGUAUUUUUUUACAUAGAGAUUUCUUAUCGUUCUUUUGUUCAAAGCCAUAUUUGACUUAAGUUUAGCUUUAUUAAGAAUGUUCUAGGGUUUUUGGUGGCAAUUCAUUCUCAUACACCUUAUUGUGUGGUGGGAAUCUACCAAAUUUGACAUUGGAGUCUUAGCACGCAAGCACUAAGUUUUGUAUCAUCAUAUUGUCUCCCAAAUGCUCUAAAACUUGUAAAGAACUAAUACUCAUUUUCCAUAUGCGUGAGCAUCAUAUUUCAAAUUAUUUGAGAUAUAAUCAUAAAUUUUUUCUAAUAAUAUAAUAUACGAGAUUUCAGUUGUCAAUCGAGUAUCUUUAUAUUCAAAAAUAGUAAUAAGAUUGUAUAUGACACAUCUUUUGCUACUUUUGUUAAUGAAUCAAUUAGUUUGUUAUAUUGCAUUCCAUUCUUUAUUUUGUUUGCAAUGAGUUAACUAGAUAAAAGUUUUUUGUUGAGUUUUAAAAAAUAUAAUAAAAUGAAAUAUAAGUCGGUACAAGGUUUUUUUGUUAUGUACCUUAAAUUCAUGUCAUCUUGUAACAAAUACUUUUGUUGAUCUAUGAUCUAUGAGUUUCAACCUUGUUGACACAACUCAUGUAUUAUGGCUUGUGUUGAGUCUUUAUGUCAAGCCUAGCUCAACUUGCAUAAUGUCAAGAAUUUUUACGCUAGUACACUCUAUGACUCUUGCGUUGUGAGCCUAGUUUGUAUAAAAUCGUCUUAGCAUACUUUAUAACUCUAAUAGAACAAAUUUAAAGUUGAAGGAAUAGAUUAUAUAUGAUUGUGAAUGUUCUAGUAUUGUUUCAUUAAAUAUAGCAAAUAAUUAAAUGAUAUCAAAUAUAUUAAGAAUAAAAUUUAUUUUUACAUUGUUGUUUGAUUAUGAAUUAUCUCAACUUCGAAAUUUAGAGCAAAGCAGUGCUACGUGCACAAGGUGGUCGUUCAUAGAGUUGAUACAGGUCACACACAGAAGGUGGGUUAGGUGGUUCAUUUUUAAAAAAACAAAAAAAACAUCACAUGGGGAGCCCAUGUGAGGGUCUAUAAAGACCUCAUGAACUAAUUCCCUGUACAUUUCUAGCGUAAGUAGUCACAUCAAUUCAUUAGAAGAGUCAACUUAUUCCAUGUGCUGUUGGUGCGGAAUCAGUGCUGAUACUGUAACUAAGGUAUUUAUCGUGUUUGGCCACGUUAACUUGAAAAGUAAAAAUUACUUUAUAGAAUAAUUUUUCUAUAAAAAAAUAUUAGAGUACAAUUUUGUUUAAUAAUUAGCUGCUGCCAUAUUCAUUAUUAUGGGGAAUAAAAUUAUAUGCCUAAAAAUAUUUUACGAUCUCCAUAAAGUAAAAUCAGUAAGAGAAUUUCUUAAAUUCGGUACGUCAGUUUUCAUUUUCCUUUUUCUUUUCCAAUAAAAUAUUAAUUUACUUAACAAAUGUUGGGUAUAUCUUCUUUUAUUCUUCUCUUUCCUCUAUUAUUCUAAAAAUAUUCUACUUUAUCAAAAUUUCUGUGUUUUGUAACAUUUCUAUGCAUCUUAUUGAGUACAAUUGCUUGCUAGACAUCAGUAUAUUUGGUAAAGUCUGUUGGACAUAAUAUAUAGCAUUAAAAAAUGACAAAAUUAAAACAUUUAUUUACCAUAAUGUUCAAUCUCGUCUAGUUAUACAUACGAACCAUGCGCUUAAUCUCUAAGAGUAUUACUAUAUCAUAUAAUCGAAUUUUUUUUGGAAUUGUAUGGGGGCAUUUUCUUAAGUGAAACUUAAAGAAUAUAGAAUAAUAUUGUUUGUACAAAGUGUGGAUCAUCCACAUCAAUAUUAUUUGAGUAUUUGAAAUUUUGUAUAUUUAGGCUCUGUUUGAACCCCAUUAUUUCUUCAUUAAAAUGAAAAAUAUGAUCGUUAUCCAUCAUAUCAAGUCACUAUAUUUGACUUUUUAUCUAUUGUGCGAGAUCCAUAACGACUAUAUUUUUCAUUCUUAUUUUUAUAAUAAUGUGGCUCAAACAGGGGCUGAGAAUACGAAAUUAUCAAUAAAGUCCUUUUUGAAGAUUGUUUUAGAGAUAAUUGUAGCAAAAGUCCCAAAUCUUUGAAACACUAGCAGAUUUUUCCCAAAUCUUUGAUUUGUUGCAGCUCCUAAUAUUUCCAAGCGUUGCAUGUAAAGCCUUUUUGGAAGGUUUUCAUGCAAAAUUUCGUCAAUUGACCAAAAAAAAUGAUUUUGACCACAUUUGAAUAAUUUUUAAAUGGAUGGAAUGGUAACUUUACAUUAAAAUAAAAAAUUUAAAAAUAAAAUUGGUCUUCUUCUUCCCUAACCCACCCCAAGUCCACCCCCACGCCAUAGGCGGAUUGGAAAAUUGAAGUACUAAAACCAACCCACAAAUAUAGCCCAACUUUCAGUGUUGAUCCCUUGGAAUUUCCAGAUCCUAGUAGGUUGGGGGUGGAUUAGGGAAGAAAAGACCAAUUUUAUUUUUUGUUUUUUUGAUUUAAAAUGUGGUCAAAAUCAUUUCUUUUUGGUCAAUUGAUGGAAUUUGGGAUGAAAACCAUCAAAAAUGGCCUCACAUGCAACAUUUGAAAAGAUUAUUGUGACGGUUGCAACAAAUCAAAGAUUUGAAGAAAGUCUGCUAGUGUUUUAAAGAUUUUGAACUUGUGCUGCAAUUAUUGACCUUGUUAUUAUAUAAUAUUAAACUUCUAUUGAGUGCAAAUAAUUUAUGUAUACUUUGGAUUUAUGUGUAAGGACGAGAUAACUAUAGGUCUAUCUACUACUAUUUGAUUCGCUUAUUAAAAAAAUAAAAAUCCAAUCAAAGAUAAUUAGUCAUGUACCUAAUAAACAAGAUAAAUAUGCAUGGCAUUAUCAAGGAGUGUCCACUCAUCAUCCCACAAUCCUACAUGUAUCACAUAGCACUAAUCCCUAAUAAAUAUUUGGUGGUCAUUUCGCAAAAUAUAAUAAAAAUAAUUUAAUUAUGAGUGGUUCAACAUAGUAUAAAAGCAGUAAAAAAAUUGAACUCAAGUCGCAUGGGCUAUAUAGGAAAAUUGUGCACAUAUAUUCAAUAAAAAAAUGAGCAUGACCACGCGUAUGUGAAAGGACACGUUUAGAGUUAAUUUCAAAACAAAUAAUUGUACUGUCUUUAAUAGUUUAAUUUUUUAGAUGAAAUAGUUAACCAAUAACAAAUUAAACUUAGAAAAAUAUUUAACAUGUGGUGGAGAUUCAUGUUAAACUAUUUAUCUUUCUUUUAGGAUUAUUUUAAUUAGUGGAAAGAUUCUAGUUUCUUGAAUUUGAUUCCUAAAGGGGAAUAGAGUUAGUGCGCCAAUUUACAAGAAUUAUUCAAUCUUUUUUGCUUUUGAUUUGUGCAUAAAAGCCCAAAACUUCUCAUUUUUGUAUGUCCCAGGCAUUUACAAUUGUGCAUAGAAAAAUUAGAGAAUGAGAAUGGGAGAGAAAUCCAUAUGGGGGAUUACAAGUAUGGCUUUCAAUAAGAUGAAGCCCUAUUUGGCCAUGGUGUCUCUACAAUUCGGCUAUGCCGGAAUGUACAUUAUCACCAUGCUUUCCUUCAAGCAUGGGUUCAGUCACUGGAUUCUAGUCGUGUACCGCCAUGCAGUUGCCACAAUGGUUUUUGCGCCUUUUGCAUUUUUCCUCGAAAGGUUAGUACAUCAUUCAUACAUAUGUGCAUAAGUGCAUGUAUGCCACGCAUUUUAGUUUUAUUUCUCCUUAUAAUAUAAAUUCAUUUCUUCUCUCUGCGUGUGUAACAAUGCUAUUUACAUGUUAAUUUGCAGGAAAAUAAGGCCUAAGCUAACCCUAUCAGUCUUUUUGAAGAUAAUGCUGCUUGCUUUCCUGGAGUAAUCUUCUUGAUCACUUCACUUAUUUACUACAAUAUAUUGCUCUUUUGCGCCAUCUUACAAAAUUUUCAUCUAAUAGUAUAGUCCAGUCGACCUUAUCUGCAUUAAAUAAACACGAUUAGGCCAUAUAUACCCAAAAUUUGAACUUGUCAUUUUUGUAUUAUCAUCAGGCCUGUCCUCGAUCAAAACUUGUAUUAUGUUGGAAUGAAGUAUACAUCAGCAACUUUUACAGCAGCAACUAUCAACAUUCUCCCAGGCAUCACCUUCAUAAUGGCUGUUAUUUUCAGGUAUAUCUUUACUUUCCCAGAUUCAUUAACAAAACUUUGUAUUAUACUAGUUUGAUGGGGUUCAAAGGUGAAAAGAGAGUUAGAUCGAUGUGCAUGGCAUAACAUUCCCAUUUUUUUGUGUAUUUAUUCUUAGUUGAGUUUGAGACGACAUCAACCAAAAUAUACUAAUUAAAAAAUGGGAAAAUUGUAGCAUAGCUCCAAACCUUUUUCAAUUAUUGAAAACUUUACCCUAACCUUCAAUUUGUGUCAACAAAGGUCCCCAACCUUUCAGAAGUAUGCACCUGAGUCCAAAUUAAUGGAAACCCAUCCAUUUGAACUUUAGUUGACCAAUAAAAUUGAAUUUUGAACAAUUUUGACUAAUUUAAAAGAGUAAAAGGGUAACUUUGCAAUUUAACUCUAUAAAACAAUUAAAAUAAAUAAUCAAAACAAAAUAAAAAUAAUAAAAGGAAAAAAACUAUUCAUCUCACACCCCCAUCCUCCCAAAUCCACUACCCAAGCAACCUCUUCAUUAGAAUUUUUACUUCUCCAACACAAAGAAUUUCCCACUUGAACCUUAUUUCCCUCACAAUACAAAUACCCAUCUUCAGAUUUUGUGAAACAAUACUAGAGAUUCUGGGUUUUGAGUUCAAUGAGGGACAGAAUUGCUCGUAUGCACAAAGAGGCGAUUUUUGAAGUAGGCUUAAGUUUGAAGGGUGAAAUGGGUUUUAUGGGAAACCAAGUAAAUGGGGAUUUCGGGGAUUUUAUGGAAAGGAUUGUUGGGGUUUGAGAGAGGAGGUUUAUAGCCACCAUUGUUGGGAGAAAGUGAAGAAAAUGCAACCGUUUACACAAAGAAAGAUGAUUUUUUGGUUUUGGUUUGCGGUGGUCGCUGGCGAUGGCCGGAAGUAGCAGAUGGUCGACGAGUUGUUUCUAGAUUUUGGUUCUUUUUUUUGUUGGGGGGAGGAGGCAGGUGAGAUGUGUAAGAAGAUGAUAUUUUAUUUUUAUCUUUUCUCUCUUUUUAUUUUGUUUUAUUUUAUUUUAUUUCUGGGUUUUCCAUUAUUUUAUGUAUAUAAUAGCAAAGUUAUCAUUUACCCAUUUUAAUUUGAUCAAAAUUUGUCAAAGUCCACUUUUGUUGGUUCAACUAAUGGUCAAAUGAACAACAUUUGGAUCCAAGUGCAUAUUUCUGAAAGUUAGGAACAUUCACUAGCACAAAUCGAAGGUUAUGGUAAAAUCUGCAAAAAUAGAAAAGACUUGGGACCAUUGCUACAAUUUUCCCUUAAAGAAUUUAGAGGUGUCAAAAUAGGCGGAUCGACCCAAGCCAGGUUCGUCUGUGAAAAGUUCAAGCUGAUAACCAGUCUAGACUUGGCCCCUGAUGACAUGUUGCCCAUGUAGACAUUUUUAUCAAAAAAAAAAAAAAUAAUAAUAAUAAUAAAUAAAUAAUAAUCAUUUUUAUUUUACUUCUACUAAAAUCCUUUUGAAAAAUGUGGGGACCAGGCCUCUAAGACAAGCCAUCUGGAUCCAACCUACUCAUUUUGACACCUUGAGAAAAAUCAUAUUAUCAUUUCUUCAAAAAUAUUUAGUGCCUCUGUUUGGGUUUAUUUUCAUUUGUAACUAAAAAGUUACUUUUAAAGGAUCCAUGGUAUUAUACACAUAUCGACCACUCAUUUCUCGAAAAAUAAAAGAAACACGAACAUAAGC
Molecule: long non-coding RNA, 35842 nt
Filed under: Olea europaea (common olive)
Lineage: Eukaryota; Viridiplantae; Streptophyta; Magnoliopsida; Lamiales; Oleaceae
Description: long non-coding RNA (OEUR_LNC011113)
Source: RNAcentral